GGGUCGAUAGCUCAGUUGGUAGAGCAGCGGACUCUUAAUCCGCGGGUCACAGGUUCGAUCCCUGUUCGGCCUACCA
Molecule: transfer RNA, 76 nt
Filed under: Acidobacteriota bacterium
Lineage: Bacteria; Pseudomonadati; Acidobacteriota
Also listed under: 3 other names
Description: Acidobacteria bacterium (activated sludge metagenome) tRNA-Lys
Rfam family: tRNA
About the family: Transfer RNA (tRNA) molecules are approximately 80 nucleotides in length. Their secondary structure includes four short double-helical elements and three loops (D, anti-codon, and T loops).
Source: RNAcentral